RNAcentral lists this ribosomal RNA (235 nucleotides) under uncultured bacterium. RNAcentral describes it as "partial 16S ribosomal RNA". It matches the Rfam family "Bacterial small subunit ribosomal RNA", at positions 99 to 334 of the family's 1533-position model. The record is from RNAcentral.
CGCACGGGUGCGUAACGCGUAUAGAACCUACCUUUUACAGGAGAAUAGCCCAGAGAAAUUUGGAUUAAUGCUCCAUAGUAUUAUAGAAUGGCAUCAUUUUAUAAUUAAACAUUUAUGGGUAAAAGAUGGCUAUGCGUUCUAUUAGCUAGAUGGUGAGGUAACGGCUUACCAUGGCAACGAUAGAUAGGGGUCCUGAGAGGGAGAUCCCCCACACUGGUACUGAGACACGGACCAG